This 253-nucleotide ribosomal RNA is filed under the name uncultured bacterium. Its description in RNAcentral is "partial 16S ribosomal RNA". It matches the Rfam family "Bacterial small subunit ribosomal RNA", at positions 524 to 776 of the family's 1533-position model. The record is from RNAcentral.
UACGUAGGCAGCGAGCGUUGUUCGGAGUUACUGGGCGUAAAGAGUGCGUAGGCGGUUUUCUAAGUUUGGUGUGAAAUCUCCCGGCUUAACUGGGAGGGUGCGCCGAAAACUGGAAGGCUUGAGUAUGGGAGAGGUAAGCGGAAUUCCUGGUGUAGCGGUGAAAUGCGUAGAUAUCUGGAGGAACACCGGUGGCGAAGGCGGCAUCCUGGACCAACACUGACACUGAGGAGCGAAAGCCAGGGGAGCAAACGGG